GGGGAAUCUUGCACAAUGGGGGAAACCCUGAUGCAGCGACGCCGCGUGAGCGAUGAAGCCCUUCGGGGUGUAAAGCUCUUUCGACGGGAACGAUAAUGACGGUACCCGGAGAAGAAGCUGCGGCUAACUACGUGCCAGCAGCCGCGGUAAUACGUAGGCAGCAAGCGUUGUUCGGAGUUACUGGGCGUAAAGAGUGCGUAGGCGGUCCCGUAAGUUUGUUGUGAAAUCUCCCGGCUUAACUGGGAGGGUGCGGCGAAAACUGCGGGGCUGGAGUGUGGGAGAGGUAAGCGGAAUUCCUGGUGUAGCGGUGAAAUGCGUAGAUAUCAGGAGGAACACCGGCGGUGUAGACGGCUUACUGGACCAUGACUGACGCUGAGGCACGAAAGCGUGGGGAGCAAAC
This 400-nucleotide ribosomal RNA is filed under the name uncultured bacterium. RNAcentral's name for it is "bacterial SSU rRNA". It matches the Rfam family "Bacterial small subunit ribosomal RNA", at positions 356 to 773 of the family's 1533-position model. The record is from RNAcentral.